RNA transcript from Uranotaenia lowii, 7607 nucleotides. RefSeq lists it as uncharacterized. The transcript is spliced from 2 exons. NCBI's taxonomy places the organism in Eukaryota, Metazoa, Arthropoda, Insecta, Diptera, Culicidae. The record is from RefSeq and is a predicted model, not a curated record.
GCCGCUGACAAUUGCAGUUCAGUGGCUGAUCAUCGUCGAGAGGAUACGUCAUUCCUUUUCUGUUUGGCGGCACGCGAGUUGGUGAAAAAUUCACCGUCACGUUUGAAAAUUAUAAUUCCGUUAUUUAAACUAGAAAGUUUAAUAGUUCUAAGUGAAAUUACUGGAGUGUGAUAUUGAUAGUCGUAUUGAGCGAUAGGAGUCGAAUGCCAAUAUUGCGCAAAAAGGUACAAGUAGUUAACAUGCAAAUUCAUCUUGUUCCUAACCUUACAUUCUGGUUCCAGCAACCUAAUAUUCCGGUUCCGCACAACUCAGUAGUACAACUGAUGUUUAGUUGUGGAAAGCAUUCCAUUGUAAUUCCGUUUAUUAAAAAGAAACUAGCAGGUUUAAAGUUUAUCACAGAGGUAAUUUCUAUUCUAAAAUUAAAAAUUGAAAUAUGUCCUAAACUAAACCUAAAAUUACAGCACACACAUUGAACUUAACCUAAAAUUAAGAAAUCGUUCGGGUGUUAAAACUAGCUGUACACUGAAUAUGUAAGUAAAAUUGUAAUUGGAAAAGCCUAAACAUGCAACUAAAAUUUAAAUACAAUUGCAGCUUGAAGCUGUGUAAACUGCUCACGAGAUCAGCGUAUUUUUAUUCCACACACCCGCAACAUUUCUUCAAGAUAUUCAAUGGCCGAAUUCACGGAAACCAUCCGGACCAGCACUCCAGUGCCAACAACGGAGCAGUUCAACUGCGUCGCCUGCGAUAAACCGGACUCCAUGUGUGACAUGGUGCAGUGCGACACCUGCGAUCGGUGGUGGCACCAGCUCUGUGCCGGCGUGACGAAUUCGAUCGAGAAAGUCCCCUGGAGUUGUCGGGACUGCAUUCCGGCUGGCAGCGCGCCUUCUAUAAAAUCAUCACGCGCGCGCCAGGCCUCCCUCAAGUUGCAGCAGCUCGAUGUUCAGCGUGCCUUGGAAAGCCAGGCCAGAAAAGUAAAACUCCAGGCGAAAUUGGACGAUAUUGCCGCAGACCAGCAGUAUGUACAGGAUCGGUACAAUCUGCUGCGAGAAAACAACGAAGACGACGAUGAAGAAGAAAGUGUUAGGAGCCAAGGCAGUCACAGAGGCAACCGCCUACGAGUGGAAAACUGGCUCAACCAAACACAAGUUCCAAAUGUCAGUGCAGCAAAACCGGGCCUGACAAGUGGUCAGCCGCAGCCGCCGAUGAGCAGCGCGAUCACCGAGCAACAACCGAGGGAAGUCCUCACGAGGAUACAGCAGCAAGGUCGAAGCACUGGCGCGUAUCCGAAAAACAGCGCAGGAAGAAAUCCAUCCGCAUUUCUCAACCAAAAUGUCAAACCUUGGCCAGAUAACCAGGAAUGGAAUUCCUGGUCCGUCAUGGGUGUUCAUCAGUGGGAAUCCGUCCUGCUACAAAAAGGCCGUUUACAAAUGGAGGGUCCCAAAACCAAAUCGUUUGGUAUUCAACAACAUUCAACAGGAAGUGCCAACGUAGGUGCUAGGUCGAGUCAGGAGCACCUUGGUCUUGAAUAUCAGCCGUCGAACCAGCCAAAUCCGGUCAGCCGGGCAGCAAAAUCCAGACCUACUUUCCCAUCACUAGUUCCGUUGGCCCCACCUCUUGCCGCACCAAUUCAGCUUGCCUCCCAGGUCGAUGCGGGGAUUACCACCGGUACCUCAGGACAAAUUCCAACUUUUACGAGAUCCGGUUGUCAUUCAGCCCCUCGGAUCACACCAGCAACUAAUCCCUCGGAUCAAUUCGAGCCGGAAACGCCGAGAAGAAACCCGUCGCAUCCGUCGACGAAUCCAGGGGCACCAACCGACUUCGGGCAUCGAGUGCCAAAUCAGUCCAGCCAUCAACAACGUUUUGCCCAGCAACCGUGGCAGCCGAUCAACAACAGACAACAGCCAGAAACGAGUACGGUACCACUUCCACCCUUCAGGAACCACAUCAACGAACAAGGUAAGACUGCUCCAAUGUAUGCCCCAAAUGAAAAUGAAAUGCCUGCCCCUGAAUAUGACCCCCUCGAGCCUUUAAUGAACCAAUUAGGCCUUGAGCCAAAUGAACGCCCACAAUACACCCCAUUUAUAAAUACCUACCAACCAUCUCAAUCACAACUUGCGGCACGACAAUUAAUGGCCCACGAUCUCCCCAUCUUCGAUGGCAAUCCCUCUGAUUGGCCAAUAUUUGUGAGUACUUUCACCAACACCACCCUCGCCUGCGGUUACUCUCCCGUGGAAAAUCUAAACCGUCUACAACGCUCCUUGAAAGGUGCUGCCUUAGCAGCCGUUCGCAGCAAGCUCAUGCUCCCUGAUGCUGUUCCGCUCAUCAUGAAGACUCUUCGCGCCUUCUACGGCCGUCCCGAAUCGCUUAUCAAUUCCCUCUUGGAAAAGAUCCGCGUCUUACCAGCUCCAAAGCCCGAGAACCUGGGGUCACUGGCCGACUUUGGAAUGGAGGUGCAGAAUCUUUGUGACCACAUUGAAGCAGCGAAUCAACAAGCACAUAUGAACAAUCCCUCUCUCUUAUCGGAACUUGUUGAAAAAUUACCGGCGUUUGCUGCAUAUCAAUGGGCAGUCUACAGCAGUGGUUUGGCGAGUGUCAGUCUACGAGAAUUUGGUAAUUUCAUGUCGGAUUUGGUCAAGCAUGUCGGUAAGGUGACAAAGUAUCGUGGGGCGUUAGUGAAGGAAGACAAGCCUAGGGCGAAGCGUGGCGCUUUACACACACAUUCAGAAACACCAACUACAUCGAAGGAGGUCGCUGUUCCGAAAAAGUGUUCGCUUUGUACUCAAAAUCAUCCUCUCAAAGAUUGUCCGAAAUUCAAGUCGUUGGAUGUCGAUGGUCGUUGGCAUACGGUGCAAAGGGAAGGUAUUUGUCGCAAUUGUUUAAACUACCAUGGUCGAAGGACGUGUCGCAGCAACAGUCGGUGUGGAAUCGAAGGCUGCACAACUCGUCAUCAUCCUCUGCUCCAUUCAAAUCGCUCUUUCCAAAACAAGUCAUCCGCAUCAACAUCCAAUAGUCGAUCAAAUCCUACUCCAACAGCUCCGGUGCAGAAAGCACCAGUAUCCGGUGAAUGUCUAACACAUCGUAGCCCAGAAAACAAGUUUCUCUUCCGUAUACUUCCGAUAACAGUUCAUGGUGCAGGAAAGUCAAUUGAUACACAUGCCUUUGUUGAUGAAGGAUCCUCUCUCACACUUGUUGAGCAAUCUCUUGUUAAAGAAUUAGGUGCGAAGGGAACUCCACGAGUUUUAUGUUUGACAUGGACAGGCAAAAUAUCUCGAACUGAUAGAGAAUCGGAAGUUUUAGACUUGACUAUCUCCGGCCAGAACAACAUGAAAGUUUGUUUGAAAGAUUCACGUACUGUCAAGAACUUAUCCCUGAGCAAGCAAUCUCUCGAUUUUUCGCAUCUUUCCGAACAAUUUCCGCACCUGAAAGGGCUUCCUGUCGCUUCGUAUACCAAUAUAACUCCUCGUUUGCUCAUUGGUUUGAACAAUCUCAACUUAACUGUCCCAUUGCGCAUUAAAGAAGGCCAGCCAGGAGCGCCUACAGCAGCAAAAACAAGGCUUGGUUGGUGCUUGUAUGGCGGAGUAGCGGAGAAUAGCUCAUUAUCCAUGGUCAACUACCACACCUGUUCAUGUACGGCCGACAAUUCUUUGCACGAUCUAGUUCGGGAUUAUUUCAGAAGAGAGGACGUAGGUGUAUCACCUGCGAUACAGAUAGAGUCAGAUGCUGACACAAGAGCACGGCGUAUUCUGCAGACAACUACGUCACGAUGUGGUGAUCGAUUUCAAACGGGUCUACUCUGGCGAUUCGACGAAUUUGAACUUCCGGACAGUCGCCCGAUGGCAUACAAACGCUGGGAAUGCUUGCAACGUAGAAUGAACCGUCAGCCUCAGUUGCGACUCAAUCUUGAACUGCAAAUAAAGAGCUACAUCGAAAAGGGCUAUGCCCACCGUGCAACUGAAGAGGAGCUAAUUGAUUCCGACCCGAGACGCACUUGGUUUCUUCCGCUUGGAGCGGUCAUCAAUCCUAAAAAGCCAGAGAAGGUGCGCAUGAUAUGGGACGCUUCCGCCACCGUAGACGGAAUUUCCCUGAACACAAUGCUAUUGAAAGGCCCUGACGAACUCAAUCCUCUACCUUGGGUCCUGUUUCGUUUCCGGCAAUUUCCCGUGGCCAUUUCAGCGGAUAUUGCGGAAAUGUUCCACCAGAUUAGAAUCAUCGAAAAAGACAGGCAAGCUCAGCGCUUUCUCUGGAACCCGGAUCCACAAGGUCAACCAGAAGUUUACACCAUGAACGUAGCUACCUUCGGUUCCACCUGUUCUCCCGCAUCUGCGCACUACGUUAUGACUCUGAACGCCAAGCAAAACGAAAAACAAUAUCCCAGGGCAGUAGAGGGAAUAGUUAAAAGAACCUACGUUGAUGAUUACGCAGAUAGUUUUGAGAACGAAGAAGAAGCGUCACGAAUAGCGGGUGAAGUCAAAUUGAUUCAUGCCAAGGGUGGAUUCAACAUAAGAGGCUGGAUGUCUAACAGUUCUAAGGUCCUCGAAAGCCUCGGAGAAGCCGAAACCUCACAGCCGAAAUCGCUAAACUUGGAGAACCCAAGGGGUUAUGAACGCAUCUUAGGUAUGCACUGGACGUCGAAAGAAGAUAGCCUGGGGUUCUCGACCAUUCUACCUCCAGAUAUCAACGAAUUGCUAGCCACCGGUAACCGUCCGACAAAACGACAACUGCUACGAUGCCUUAUGAGCUUCUUUGAUCCUCUCGGGCUCCUUGCAGCUAUCAUUCUCCAUGGGAAGAUUCUCCUCCAAGAUGUCUGGAGAGCAGGAACGCAAUGGGAUGAGCCAAUAGACAACAAUGCCUUCGAAAAAUGGUUACGGUGGACGAAAUGUUUCCCGAAGAUUGCCGAAAUUUCCAUUCCUCGCUGUUACUUCCAAGAAGCAUCCCGGGAACUUUAUCAAGAUCUUGAACUCCAUAUUUUCGUUGACGCAAGCGAAGAAGCUUACGCCGCUGUAGCGUAUUUUCGCGUCUCCACUCCUGAAGGAUUUAUCUGCUCUCUAGUAUCCGCUAAAACCAAGGUAGCCCCUUUAAAACACUGGUCCAUACCUCGUCUUGAGUUGCAAGCAGCCGUGAUAGGAGUUCGAUUGAGGAAAUUCAUCGUAGACGGACAUUCACUGAACAUUCGACGCACCGUUUUCUGGUCUGACUCAAGCACUGUCCUCGCAUGGAUUCGUUCGGACCACCGACGUUACACCCAGUUUGUUGCGUGUCGUGUAGGCGAAAUACUCUCGAACAGUGAAAUCUCCGAAUGGCGUUGGGUCCCUUCGAAACUCAACAUUGCAGAUCAUGCUACGAAGUGGUUCAACGAGAUUGAGAUCCAACAAGAUUCCGCUUGGUUUAGCGGACCCGAAUUCCUGAAAGAGUCCGAAGAAAACUGGCCUCAACCUAGAUCGUCUACGACUACUACUGAAGAACUCAAGAUACCCUGUCUCGUCCAUCAACUUUCUGAAACUCAAACAACUGUCGACUUCACCAGAUUUUCUAAAUGGGAGAGAGUCUUAAGAACCACUGCUUAUGUGAACCGUUACAUUGCCCUCAAGACAAACCGUGUGAAAAUUUUUCCAGAACAUCUUGGUCAGCAGGAACUCCGUGAUGCCGAAAAUUCACUGUUCGGGAAUGCCCAAUGGUGUUCAUAUCCUGCCGAAAUGAGCGUUGCGGUUCACAAUCGAGGAAAAUCGACAGAACAACGAAAUGAUCUACCGAAACAAAGCAUUCUUCGCCAAAUGUCACCGUACUUGGAUGAAAACGGCGUUCUUCGCGUCGACAGCCGUAUCGGUGCAGCAAAACGUGUGUCAACGUGCACUAAGUAUCCAGUGAUUCUUCCUCAAUACCAUCGACUAACCGACUUGAUCAUAGACUUCUACCAUCGAAAAUACAUCCACUGCAACUUCGAAACCGUCGUCAAUGAGUUGCGCCAGCGAUUCUACAUUCCCCGUAUUCGACAAACAGUGAAGCGUGUCCUUCGACAAUGCCAGUGGUGCAAAAUCUAUAAAUCCAAACCCCAGGUUCCUCGGAUGGCACCUUUACCGGAAGCAAGACUUGCCGCAUAUACUCGUCCCUUCAGUUACACCGGGCUGGACUUAUUUGGACCAAUACUAGUGAAGUCUGGGAGACAAGCGCUGAAAAGAUGGGUCGCCCUCUUCACGUGCUUGACCAUCAGAGCUGUGCACGUAGAGGUCGUUUACAGUUUGAGCACCGAGUCGUGCAUUAUGAGCAUACGUCGUUUCAUCGGAAGGCGAGGAGCUCCAAUCGAGAUCCAUUCAGACAACGGGACGAAUUUCCGUGGCGCUGAUAAUAUCCUGCAACAACAAGUCCGGCAGUUCCACGAGAACAUGGCAGUAACGUUCACCAACGUGGAUACAAAAUGGGUAUUCAUUCCACCAGGCACUCCUCACAUGGGCGGUUCGUGGGAGCGCCUGGUACGCUCUGUGAAAACAGCGCUAGAGGGGAGCAUGAUUCCGGGAAGAAAGUUGGACGACGAGGCCUUCUACACACUGCUGGUAGACGCUGAAGGAAUCGUCAACAGUCGACCGUUGACCUACUUACCCAUCGAGUCAGAAGAAGCAGAAGCAUUAACUCCCAACCAUUUUUUGUUGGGAAGCAGCAAUGGUGUCAAACAACCGGAGUCGGGACCGAUCAGCGAAGCCAAUGGGUUGAGAAACGCGUGGAGCCAGAUAAAUCUACAACUUGAUCGCUUUUGGAGUCGUUGGGUGCGCGAAUACCUCCCGACCAUGACGCAACGGUCAAAAUGGUUCGGUGAGACGAAACCGGUUCGUUUGGGAGACUUGGUGGUUGUGGUAAAUGAAGCAAGGAGAAAUGGCUGGGUUCGAGGGCGGGUGUUGGAACUGGUUCCUGGGUCAGAUGGGCGCAUUAGAAGGGCAGUCGUGCAGACAAAUAAGGGACUCACUCGUCAAUCUGUUGCAAAGCUAGCAGUCUUAGAGGUCGCACAAGGAGGAAACCCUGGAUCUAACACUUCAGAUACCAGUGUUACGGGAGGGGGGAUGUUGGAAACUGGCACCCCUGCCUAAGCACUUUCCGACAGGCCGCUGACAAUUGCAGUUCAGUGGCUGAUCAUCGUCGAGAGGAUACGUCAUUCCUUUUCUGUUUGGCGGCACGCGAGUUGGUGAAAAAUUCACCGUCACGUUUGAAAAUUAUAAUUCCGUUAUUUAAACUAGAAAGUUUAAUAGUUCUAAGUGAAAUUACUGGAGUGUGAUAUUGAUAGUCGUAUUGAGCGAUAGGAGUCGAAUGCCAAUAUUGCGCAAAAAGCAACCUAAUAUUCCGGUUCCGCACAACUCAGUAGUACAACUGAUGUUUAGUUGUGGAAAGCAUUCCAUUGUAAUUCCGUUUAUUAAAAAGAAACUAGCAGGUUUAAAGUUUAUCACAGAGGUAAUUUCUAUUCUAAAAUUAAAAAUUGAAAUAUGUCCUAAACUAAACCUAAAAUUACAGCACACACAUUGAACUUAACCUAAAAUUAAGAAAUCGUUCGGGUGUUAAAACUAGCUGUACACUGAAUAUGUAAGUAAAAUUGUAAUUGGAAAAGCCUAAACAUGCAACUAAAA